RNAcentral lists this unclassified non-coding RNA (291 nucleotides) under Hevea brasiliensis (rubber tree). The record is from RNAcentral. Lineage: Eukaryota; Viridiplantae; Streptophyta; Magnoliopsida; Malpighiales; Euphorbiaceae.
AAAUAAUGAACGCUCCAUCAAAAAUUCUGCAAUAUUUUGUAGAGACAUCUAAAAUUGUAAAGAUAAAACUGAUUUACUUGAAUGAUAUACUUAACUAGACAAUUGAUUUAGUGACUCACUCCUGCCAUAUCUAACAACUGUAGCUAGCCUAUCCAAUCUGUGGAUUGCAUCUUCAGCUAGAUUCUUUAAGUGCUGUAAUGCUGCACCUAGUAAUAGACAUAAGUCUUGAUAUGAGUUGCAUGCUACUCGUAUAAAUAUGUAGACUCAUAAACUCAAAGUAAUACACCAAAG